AACGAACGCUGGCGGCAUGCCUAACACAUGCAAGUCGAACGAGACCUUCGGGUCUAGUGGCGCACGGGUGCGUAACGCGUGGGAACCUGCCCUUAGGUUCGGAAUAACUCCCCGAAAGGGGUGCUAAUACCGGAUAAUGUCUUCGGACCAAAGAUUUAUCUCCUUUGGAUGGGCCCGCGUUGGAUUAGCUAGUUGGUAGGGUAAAAGCCUACCAAGGCGACGAUCCAUAGCUGGUCUGAGAGGAUGAUCAGCCACACUGGGACUGAGACACGGCCCAGACUCCUACGGGAGGCAGAAGUGGGGAAUAUUGGACAAUGGGCGAAAGACUGAUCCAGCAAUGCCGCGUGAGUGAUGAAGGCCUUAGGGUUGUAAAGCUCUUUUAACCGGGAUGAUAAUGACAGUACCGGGAGAAUAAGCGCCGGCUAACUCCGUG
Molecule: ribosomal RNA, 433 nt
Filed under: uncultured bacterium
Lineage: Bacteria
Description: partial 16S ribosomal RNA
Rfam family: Bacterial small subunit ribosomal RNA
Source: RNAcentral